This 240-nucleotide long non-coding RNA is filed under the name Mytilus galloprovincialis (Mediterranean mussel). Lineage: Eukaryota; Metazoa; Mollusca; Bivalvia; Mytilida; Mytilidae. The record is from RNAcentral.
GCUUGAAGUAUAUUUAUUGUGUGUGUAUAUUUAGAAUAUAAAUUUUAAAAAACUGGUCUGUGUUUCUAAUACAAAAGGAGGUGUUUUGGUUACGGUCACAUAUCAUCAUCUGGUGGUGUUCCUAACCUAUAUGUUUCCUUUCUUGUAAUACUUAGAAUGGUUCGAAUUUAGUUUCACUUAUGAGGAAUCUCCAGAGGCGGAUUUAGACCCCCCCUUUUUUCUGGGAGAAAUUUUAUUGAU